UACAGAGGUCUCAAGCGUUGUUCGGAUUCAUUGGGCGUAAAGCGCGCGUAGGCGGCGGUGCUGGCCCGGCGUGAAAGCCCCCGGCUCAACCGGGGAGGGUCGUCGGGGACCGCACCGCUUGAGGGCGGUAGGGGCUGGUGGAAUGCCUGGUGUAGUGGUGAAAUGCGUAGAGAUCAGGCGGAACACCCGUGGCGAAGGCGGCCAGCUGGGCCGUCCCUGACGCUGAGGCGCGAAGGCGUGGGGAGCGAACGGG
RNAcentral lists this ribosomal RNA (253 nucleotides) under uncultured bacterium. RNAcentral's name for it is "partial 16S ribosomal RNA". It matches the Rfam family "Bacterial small subunit ribosomal RNA", at positions 524 to 776 of the family's 1533-position model. The record is from RNAcentral.